This 305-nucleotide ribosomal RNA is filed under the name uncultured bacterium. RNAcentral describes it as "partial 16S ribosomal RNA". It matches the Rfam family "Bacterial small subunit ribosomal RNA", at positions 508 to 807 of the family's 1533-position model. The record is from RNAcentral.
ACAGCAGCCGCCGCGGGAAUACGGAGGGGGCUAGCGUUGUUCGGAAUUACUGGGCGUAAAGCGCACGUAGGCGGCUUUGUAAGUUAGAGGUGAAAGCCCGGAGCUCAACUCCGGAAUUGCCUUUAAGACUGCAGAGCUAGCAGGUGAGAGAGGUGAGUGGAAUUCCGAGUGUAGAGGUGAAAUUCGUAGAUAUUCGGAAGAACACCAGUGGCGAAGGCGGCUCACUGGCUCAUACUGGACGCUGAGAGACGAAAGCUAGGGGAGAAAAUGGGAUUAGAGACCCGCGUAGUCCCUGUCUCUUAUAC